Molecule: ribosomal RNA, 1106 nt
Filed under: Escherichia coli
Lineage: Bacteria; Pseudomonadati; Pseudomonadota; Gammaproteobacteria; Enterobacterales; Enterobacteriaceae
Description: partial 23S ribosomal RNA
Rfam family: Bacterial large subunit ribosomal RNA
Source: RNAcentral
GGGACACGUGGUAUCCUGUCUGAAUAUGGGGGGACCAUCCUCCAAGGCUAAAUACUCCUGACUGACCGAUAGUGAACCAGUACCGUGAGGGAAAGGCGAAAAGAACCCCGGCGAGGGGAGUGAAAAAGAACCUGAAACCGUGUACGUACAAGCAGUGGGAGCCUCUUAAUGGGGUGACUGCGUACCUUUUGUAUAAUGGGUCAGCGACUUAUAUUCUGUAGCAAGGUUAACCGAAUAGGGGAGCCGAAGGGAAACCGAGUCUUAACUGGGCGUUAAGUUGCAGGGUAUAGACCCGAAACCCGGUGAUCUAGCCAUGGGCAGGUUGAAGGUUGGGUAACACUAACUGGAGGACCGAACCGACUAAUGUUGAAAAAUUAGCGGAUGACUUGUGGCUGGGGGUGAAAGGCCAAUCAAACCGGGAGAUAGCUGGUUCUCCCCGAAAGCUAUUUAGGUAGCGCCUCGUGAAUUCAUCUCCGGGGGUAGAGCACUGUUUCGGCAAGGGGGUCAUCCCGACUUACCAACCCGAUGCAAACUGCGAAUACCGGAGAAUGUUAUCACGGGAGACACACGGCGGGUGCUAACGUCCGUCGUGAAGAGGGAAACAACCCAGACCGCCAGCUAAGGUCCCAAAGUCAUGGUUAAGUGGGAAACGAUGUGGGAAGGCCCAGACAGCCAGGAUGUUGGCUUAGAAGCAGCCAUCAUUUAAAGAAAGCGUAAUAGCUCACUGGUCGAGUCGGCCUGCGCGGAAGAUGUAACGGGGCUAAACCAUGCACCGAAGCUGCGGCAGCGACACUAUGUGUUGUUGGGUAGGGGAGCGUUCUGUAAGCCUGUGAAGGUGGCCUGUGAGGGUUGCUGGAGGUAUCAGAAGUGCGAAUGCUGACAUAAGUAACGAUAAAGCGGGUGAAAAGCCCGCUCGCCGGAAGACCAAGGGUUCCUGUCCAACGUUAAUCGGGGCAGGGUGAGUCGACCCCUAAGGCGAGGCCGAAAGGCGUAGUCGAUGGGAAACAGGUUAAUAUUCCUGUACUUGGUGUUACUGCGAAGGGGGGACGGAGAAGGCUAUGUUGGCCGGGCGACGGUUGUCCCGGUUUAAGCGUGUAGGCUGGUUU